GUGGGGAAUUUUGGACAAUCGGCGCAAGCCUGAUCCAGCAAUGCCGCGUGCAGGAAGAAGGCCUUCGGGUUGUAAACUGCUUUUGUACGGAACGAAACGGUCCUGGUUAAUACCUGGGGCUAAUGACGGUACCGUAAGAAUAAGCACCGGCUAACUACGUGCCAGCAGCCGCGGUAAUACGUAGGGUGCAAGCGUUAAUCGGAAUUACUGGGGGUAAAUCGUGCGAAGGCGGUUUUGUAAGACAGGCGUGAAAUCCCCGGGCUCAACCUGGGAAUUGCGCUUGUGACUGCAAGGCUGGAGUGCGGCAGAGGGGGAUGGAAUUCCGCGUGUAGCAGUGAAAUGCGUAGAUAUGCGGAGGAACACCGAUGGCGAAGGCAAUCCCCUGGGCCUGCACUGACGCUCAUGCACGAAAGCGUGGGGAGCAAACAGGAUUAGAUACCCUUGUAGUCC
Molecule: ribosomal RNA, 450 nt
Filed under: uncultured bacterium
Lineage: Bacteria
Description: partial 16S ribosomal RNA
Rfam family: Bacterial small subunit ribosomal RNA
Source: RNAcentral